Long non-coding RNA from Glycine soja, 775 nucleotides. RefSeq lists it as uncharacterized. The transcript has 2 exons. NCBI's taxonomy places the organism in Eukaryota, Viridiplantae, Streptophyta, Magnoliopsida, Fabales, Fabaceae. The record is from RefSeq and is a predicted model, not a curated record.
GUUUUGAGUAGUGGUGAUUGCUACACAACUAGAUACAAUUAGCUAUGAGUUUUAAAAUGAGUCAGUUAGAUUCAAAAGGAGUUGUAGGGACCACUCAUUUAUUGAAAGGUCAAUUAAUAUUUGUAUUGUGUGUGUGUGGAAUGGGUGUGUUUGUGAUUUGGAGACAAAUUUUAGAGAGAGAAAUGCUGAUUGAAAGAGUUAGGGUUAGGAUGUAUGUGUUUUUUGUCAUAACUAAACAAGGUUGAUUAGACAGUUGGUGGAUUAAUCUUAAUUCACAGUAUUUUCUUUUAUUCUUAUUAUCCCCUAUCUCUGCAGUGACAUUAUAAUUCAAGGGCUGACCAUUCUUGCUCCAGUUGACUCUCCAAACACUGAUGGAAUAGAUCCAGCCAAAUUGCUAUUCCAGAGUUAUAAGUGUUAAUGGCGAUGAACAUAUUAUAAUAUUUGCGAAGAGGGACAUUAAACAGUGGGAAGAGCUUACAUAUGAUUACAGGUUUACCUCUUCUCCAAAUGAGGCAGAGGGAGCAAUUGCUGUUAUUAUUAUUAGGAGUGUUUGGAAAGCAUCCUUGAAUAUCUUGCUGAUCAGAAGGACCCUACUACUUUAUGCCAGAAAUUUAUUGAUGAGUUUGAUCGAUGCAUCCUCAGUUAUUUUGCAUUUAAUUGGAACCAAGCUUCUUAUAUGAUUAGUCAGGUACAGUAUAUAUAAUUUAGAACAAAACUUUGCAUGCAGUAUACUUCAAGCAGAUUUUGGUACUAAUAAGUGUCCUAACAUUUGUUA